GUUUAAUUAUACUUUUUUACUAAAUUUGGUAGUCUUUUAGUAGGAAUUACCAUUCACUAGCUACCAUUUACUGAGAGGCUACUUACUAUGUGACAGCCACUAUGCCAAGAGAUUUUCUAUAUAUAAUUUCUCACUUAAUCUUUAGAACAAAUCCAAGAAGAUGCCCCUGCUGUACCUGUUUUAGAGAUGAGGCCGUUGAGGUUCAGAGAGGUUGAGUAACUUACACGAGUUGAUCUUUCUUACUCACUGCUGGUGACUGUUAGAACCUUUCUCUUAAAUCCUCAACUGUAAGGCUAGUGGAUGUACAUAACCAGUUAUGAAAUUUCUAUGGUAUUUAAAGUG
Molecule: long non-coding RNA, 342 nt
Filed under: Homo sapiens (human)
Lineage: Eukaryota; Metazoa; Chordata; Mammalia; Primates; Hominidae
Description: HSALNT0220978
Source: RNAcentral